This 949-nucleotide ribosomal RNA is filed under the name Rhodococcus sp. L18d. Its description in RNAcentral is "bacterial SSU rRNA". It matches the Rfam family "Bacterial small subunit ribosomal RNA", at positions 396 to 1360 of the family's 1533-position model. Lineage: Bacteria; Bacillati; Actinomycetota; Actinomycetes; Mycobacteriales; Nocardiaceae. The record is from RNAcentral.
GCCGCGUGAGGGAUGACGGCCUUCGGGUUGUAAACCUCUUUCAGCAGGGACGAAGCGCAAGUGACGGUACCUGCAGAAGAAGCACCGGCUAACUACGUGCCAGCAGCCGCGGUAAUACGUAGGGUGCAAGCGUUGUCCGGAAUUACUGGGCGUAAAGAGUUCGGAGGCGGUUUGUCGCGUCGUUUGUGAAAACCAGCAGCUCAACUGCUGGCUUGCAGGCGAUACGGGCAGACUUGAGUACUGCAGGGGAGACUGGAAUUCCUGGUGUAGCGGUGAAAUGCGCAGAUAUCAGGAGGAACACCGGUGGCGAAGGCGGGUCUCUGGGCAGUAACUGACGCUGAGGAACGAAAGCGUGGGUAGCGAACAGGAUUAGAUACCCAGGUAGUCCACCCCGUAAACGGUGGGCGCUAGGUUGGGUUCCUUCCACGGAAUCCGNGCCGUAGUUAACCCAUUAAGCCCCCNCCUGGGAGUACGGCCGCAAGGCUAAACUCAAAGGAAUUGACNGGGGCCCGCACAAGCGGCGGAGCAUGUGGAUUAAUUCGAUGCAACGCGAAGAACCUUACCUGGGUUUGACAUAUACCGGAAAGCUGCAAAGAUGUGGCCCCCCUUGUGGUCGGUAUACAGGUGGUGCAUGGCUGUCGUCACCUCGUGUCGUGAAAUGUUGGGUUAAGUCCCGCAACGAGCCCAAACCCUAUCUUAUGUUGCCAGCACGUUAUGGUGGGGACUCGUAAGAGACUGCCGGGGUCAACUCGGAGGAAGGUGGGGACGACGUCAAGUCAUCAUGCCCCUUAUGUCCAGGGCUUCACACAUGCUACAAUGGCCAGUACAGAGGGCUGCGAGACCGUGAGGUGGAGCGAAUCCCUUAAAGCUGGUCUCAGUUCGGAUCGGGGUCUGCAACUCGAACCCCGUGAAGUCGGANUCNCUAGUAAUANAAGAUCAGCAACGCUGC